UACGUAGGGGGCUAGCGUUGCUCGGAAUCACUGGGCGUAAAGGGUGCGCAGGCGGGCGUUCAAGUCAGGGGUGAAAUCCUGGAGCUCAACUCCAGAACUGCCUUUGAUACUGAGGAUCUUGAGUUCGGGAGAGGUGAGUGGAGCUGCGAGUGUAGAGGUGAAAUUCGUAGAUAUUCGGAAGAACACCAGUGGCGAAGGCGACUUACUGGACACAUAUUGACGCUGAGGUGCGAAAGCGUGGGGAGCAAACAGG
RNAcentral lists this ribosomal RNA (253 nucleotides) under uncultured bacterium. Its description in RNAcentral is "partial 16S ribosomal RNA". It matches the Rfam family "Bacterial small subunit ribosomal RNA", at positions 524 to 776 of the family's 1533-position model. The record is from RNAcentral.